CAUUGUAAGGACACAAUCAUCAAUAGGAUGUUGAUGACUAAGGAAAGACAAUGGACCCCUCAUAGGAUUGAGGAUUAGGACCGCAUCAGGAAGAUGCCAGGGACACCGCUCAAGGAACAAGUGAUGUGCGCUAACGGGGAAUGUUAGCUUUCAGGAUGAUAAGGACACCGCUAGGACGGCGAUGCAAGGAUUAAGCUGACGGAUUCAGCCACUAUUACGGAUGAUGCAUGGAGCAUAAUGAGUAGCCGGACUGCUGCAAGUAAGACUAUAACCCCGAUACCAGCGUAUCGGGGUUUUUCUUAUUA
RNAcentral lists this non-coding RNA (305 nucleotides) under Vibrio mytili. Lineage: Bacteria; Pseudomonadati; Pseudomonadota; Gammaproteobacteria; Vibrionales; Vibrionaceae. The record is from RNAcentral.